UUUCCGUAGGUGAACCUGCGGAAGGAUCAUUAUUGUAUAACCGAGGUGCGAGGGCUGUCGCUGACCCGAAAGGUCGUGCACGCCCGAGUGCCCUCACACACAUCCAACUCACCCCUAUGUGCACCACCGCGUGGGUCCCCCUUUGGCGUGUUCGGAGGGGGGCUUACGUUUUCACACAAACUUUGUAUGCAGUGUAGAAUGUAUUUUUUGUUUUUGCGAUCACGCAAUCAAUACAACUUUCAACAACGGAUCUCUUGGCUCUC
This 263-nucleotide unclassified non-coding RNA is filed under the name plant metagenome. RNAcentral's name for it is "partial contains small subunit ribosomal RNA, internal transcribed spacer 1, and 5.8S ribosomal RNA". The record is from RNAcentral.